This is a non-coding RNA of Callithrix jacchus (white-tufted-ear marmoset), 2290 nucleotides long. NCBI's taxonomy places the organism in Eukaryota, Metazoa, Chordata, Mammalia, Primates, Cebidae. The record is from RefSeq and is a predicted model, not a curated record.
AAUUCAAGCAUCAUAGUCGGCAAACCACAGCAGAGCUGCCAGAGAGAGAUGGAGCCUUGUUCCACCGGAAGUCACUUUGUCCAACAGCCUCCUGGGAGCGGAGCUGCCUGUGGACACCACCCAAAGUUAGGGGGAAGGGUACAGUGGCUUUGAGCACGCCUGGCCCUGAAGUCACCAGCUUCCGGGAGGCACUGGCCUGGAGAGGGAGCCCCCACUCACCCAGGGGAGGCCGGGGAGCAUCUUCCUCUGGCUCUUUCUCCCUAGGUCUCUGAGUUCUCAGGUCAGGGAUGGUGUCUCUCUUGCUAAUAGCCCUGUCUCCAGAGGCACACAGGCCUGGCACACAGCACGGGCACUCACAGCUGCCCCAGACCUCUCCCUCUCCCGGGCUCCCUUUGUCUUGAUCUCCCUCUCCUGUUGCCUGGUAACCGCCCUCCCCGUCACCAGCCCCGCGGAAACCAUGGCAACGGGCAGCCGGAAGAUGCGGCCAUUCCUCUCCCUUUUGUCCCUUGCAUUUCAGCAGCGCCCGCGCACGUGGACGCUCCAAUUACAGGACAAACAAGGACCUCCAAAUUCGUGUUCAAACACCCCACGUGGUGGGCAGUGGCGGGGAUCAGAGGAUUCUGGAAUGAACGCAAAGGAUGAACAGACCCAGCCAGCGAAGAACACACAGACAGACAGACAGACAGACAGACAGACAGACAGACAGACAGACCCAGCAGCCCCAGGAGGAGAACCCAGGACCCAAAGCGCCGGGCCUAGAACGAGUCACAAUUGGCGUGCAGCUCUGGCUCCACCACUGCCGACCUGUGCCCUCUGUGCUCUGACCUUCCACUCUUUCAGCACCGAGGUCCUUCUGAAACCACAGAGGCUUGGCAUCUGCUCUUCCCUCUGGCCCAGAGUUCCCUCCCCUCUUUGCACACUAACUCCAACCUGACCCUCAAUCUCAGCUCCAGCACGCCUUCCUGGAGGAAGCUUCCCUGCCUAUCCCUCCAUUCCCCUUCCCAGGUUCCCACAACCCCCUAAGCUGCACUUUCCACGCGUACAAUCAUGUAUAUUUCUUAAAUGUCGUCUAAGUUUCCAGGGUCUCCUAUACCAAAUGACCACAAACUGGAUGGCUUAAAACAACACGUAUGCCUUGUCUCCCAGUUCUAGAGGCUAGAAGUUGCAAGUCAGGAUGUGUGGAAGGCCACGCUCCCUCUGAAGGCUACAGGGGAGGAUCUUUCCUUGUCUCCUCCAGCUUCUGCUAGCUGUCAGCAUCCUUGGUAUUCCUUGGCUUGUGGACACAUCACUCUAAUCUCUGCCCAUGGUCACAUGGGUUUCUCCCCAUGUCCCUCUGUCCAAAUUUCCCUCAUCUUAUAAAGAUGCCAGUCAUUGGAUUCGGGUUCACCCUGAUCCAGGAUGACCUCUCUUAACUUGAUUAUAUCUAUCUGUCAUGAUUAUUUCCAAAUGAUACGGACAGGAAGGAGUCAGGGAAACACUGGGUAGAAGAGGGUGGUUCCCUGGUAAAGGCCCCUCCCUCAAGCCUGGAUACCUGAGGCCCUAAAUGAGAACAGGAAUUCCUGUUUUCAAGCCCCAAAAAUUGCCUUUUGGCCUGCCAUACCCCAUAUCCUGCCCUCAUAUAAACCCCAAACCCCAAGUUCCAGAGCAGACCAGCAGGCAAGGAGACAAGGAGGCAAGCAGAUGGAUGGCAGAACAAUGUGGCGGAGAAAGAGAGAAGAGAAGAGAUGUCUGGAUGCCAACAGGAGUUUGGCUGGGGGUGGUCAGAGAAGAAUCCAGUGGCUGGGCAGCCCGACUCCAGGGGAAGAUCACCUUCCCACUCUAUCCCCCUGCCUUCAGGCCCCCCAUCCAUCUCACUAAGAGCCACCUCCACCACUCAAUAAAACCUUGCAUUCAUCCUUCGAGCCCUCGUGUGAUCCAGUCCUUCUGGGACACUGGGCAAGAGCUCGGGAUAUAGAAAGCUGUCACACUGGCCCUUUGCCCUUCUGAUAAGGCAGAGGGUCCAUUGAGCUGAUUAAUACUCAAGAUGCCUGCAGAUGUCAAAGCUGAAAGAGCUUUUUAACACUGGGGUUCCAAGCACCUACCCCUACACAUUCCUGUGGGGCCAAGAGCCCAAAACACUUGCACAGCCUCUGCAGCUGCCCAUCUGCAUAAUUACCCUAGGGGUUUGAGCUGCGGGGUGACUGAACAGGCAACCCACACCUCUGUGGCACACCCUGCAAGGGGAAUCAGAGAACUCACCCAUUUCACAAAUAAGGUCACAUUCUGAAGUCCACACAUCCUGCAAGGGGAA